This 780-nucleotide ribosomal RNA is filed under the name Streptomyces sp. RNAcentral describes it as "bacterial SSU rRNA". It matches the Rfam family "Bacterial small subunit ribosomal RNA", at positions 56 to 850 of the family's 1533-position model. Lineage: Bacteria; Bacillati; Actinomycetota; Actinomycetes; Kitasatosporales; Streptomycetaceae. The record is from RNAcentral.
UGCAAGUCGAACGAUGAACCACUUCGGUGGGGAUUAGUGGCGAACGGGUGAGUAACACGUGGGCAAUCUGCCCUGCACUCUGGGACAAGCCCUGGAAACGGGGUCUAAUACCGGAUACUGACCUGCCUGGGCAUCCAGGCGGUUCGAAAGCUCCGGCGGUGCAGGAUGAGCCCGCGGCCUAUCAGCUUGUUGGUGAGGUAAUGGCUCACCAAGGCGACGACGGGUAGCCGGCCUGAGAGGGCGACCGGCCACACUGGGACUGAGACACGGCCCAGACUCCUACGGGAGGCAGCAGUGGGGAAUAUUGCACAAUGGGCGCAAGCCUGAUGCAGCGACGCCGCGUGAGGGAUGACGGCCUUCGGGUUGUAAACCUCUUUCAGCAGGGAAGAAGCGAAAGUGACGGUACCUGCAGAAGAAGCGCCGGCUAACUACGUGCCAGCAGCCGCGGUAAUACGUAGGGCGCAAGCGUUGUCCGGAAUUAUUGGGCGUAAAGAGCUCGUAGGCGGCUUGUCACGUCGGUUGUGAAAGCCCGGGGCUUAACCCCGGGUCUGCAGUCGAUACGGGCAGGCUAGAGUUCGGUAGGGGAGAUCGGAAUUCCUGGUGUAGCGGUGAAAUGCGCAGAUAUCAGGAGGAACACCGGUGGCGAAGGCGGAUCUCUGGGCCGAUACUGACGCUGAGGAGCGAAAGCGUGGGGAGCGAACAGGAUUAGAUACCCUGGUAGUCCACGCCGUAAACGGUGGGCACUAGGUGUGGGCAACAUUCCACGUUGUCCGUGCCGCA